RNAcentral lists this ribosomal RNA (253 nucleotides) under uncultured bacterium. Its description in RNAcentral is "partial 16S ribosomal RNA". It matches the Rfam family "Bacterial small subunit ribosomal RNA", at positions 524 to 776 of the family's 1533-position model. The record is from RNAcentral.
UACGUAGGGUGCAAGCGUUAAUCGGAAUUACUGGGCGUAAAGCGUGCGCAGGCGGUUAUGUAAGACAGUUGUGAAAUCCCCGGGCUCAACCUGGGAACUGCAUCUGUGACUGCAUAGCUAGAGUACGGUAGAGGGGGAUGGAAUUCCUGGUGUAGCGGUGAAAUGCGCAGAUAUCAGGAAGAACACCCGUGGCGAAAGCGGCUCUCUGAAACGGUACUGACGCUGAGACGCGAAAGCGUGGGGAGCGAACAGG